Molecule: ribosomal RNA, 460 nt
Filed under: uncultured bacterium
Lineage: Bacteria
Description: partial 16S ribosomal RNA
Rfam family: Bacterial small subunit ribosomal RNA
Source: RNAcentral
CCUACGGGUGACAGCAGUGAGGAAUAUUGGUCAAUGGCCGUAAGGCUGAACCAGCCAAGUCGCGUGAAGGAAGAAGGAUCUCUGGUUUGUAAACUUCUUUUAUAGGGGAAUAAAGGUAUCCACGUGUGGAUAUUUGCAUGUACCCUAUGAAUAAGCAUCGGCUAACUCCGUGUCAGCAGCCGCGGUCAUACGGAGGGUGAGAUGGUUAAUCGGAAUUACUGGGCGGAAAGCGUUCGGAGGAGGUAUGCCAAGUCAAGGGUGAAACCCACGCGCUCAACGUGGGAACUGCCUUAGAAACUGGCAAACUGGAGUGUGUGAGAGGAUAGUGGAAUUCCAGGUGUAGGAGUGAAAUCCGUAGAUAUCUGGAGGAACAUCAGUGGCGAAGGCGACUAUCUGGCACAUAACUGACGCUGAGGAGCGAAAGCGUGGGUAGCAAACAGGAUUAGAUACCCUUGUAGUC